GGCGCACGGGUGAGUAACACGUCGAAUCAAUCUACCUCACGAGUGGGGAAUAACCAUAGAAGAAAUACUGGGCUCAAUACCGCUAUAACAUGACUGAUGGCACAUGCUGUUGUCGUUCAAUUAAGGCGCAACGUCAGCCUAGAAUGAGGGAUCCUGCUGGGGCCUGAUUAGCUGUGUCUCGGCUGAUGGUACAAUGGCUCAACCAAGGCAUUGAUCUGGUAGCCUGGACUGAGUAGGUUCGGCCCGGGCCCACACUUGGAACUCGAGACACGGUCCCAGACUCCCAUACGGGAGGCAGCAGUGGGGAAUCUUGCACAAUGGACGAAAGUCUGAUGCAGCAACGCCGCGUGGGGGAUGAAGCUUCUCGGAGUGUAAACCCCUUUCGACCCGGAAGAAUGCCCGCAAGGGUUUGACGGUACGGGUAUAAGAAGCCCCGGCUAACUACGUGCCAGCAGCCGCGGUAAUACGUAGGGGGCCAGCGUUGCUCGGAAUUACUGGGCGUAAAGGGUCUGUAGGCGGUGCGGCAAGUCGAUAGUGAAAUCCCUAGGCUUAACCUAGGGGCUGCUAGCGAAACUGCCGUGCUAGAGUGUGAGAGAGGCGAGUUGGAAUUACGGGUGUUAGCCGGUUGAAAU
Molecule: ribosomal RNA, 632 nt
Filed under: uncultured bacterium
Lineage: Bacteria
Description: bacterial SSU rRNA
Rfam family: Bacterial small subunit ribosomal RNA
Source: RNAcentral